GGAGGAGUGCGUGAGUGGUUAAAACGGACGGACUGUAAAUCCGUUGACUUAGUCUACGUUGGUUCGAAUCCAACCUCCUCCACCA
This 85-nucleotide transfer RNA is filed under the name Martelella mediterranea. RNAcentral describes it as "tRNA-Tyr". It matches the Rfam family "tRNA". Rfam says of the family: Transfer RNA (tRNA) molecules are approximately 80 nucleotides in length. Their secondary structure includes four short double-helical elements and three loops (D, anti-codon, and T loops). RNAcentral also lists the same sequence under 14 other names. Lineage: Bacteria; Pseudomonadati; Pseudomonadota; Alphaproteobacteria; Hyphomicrobiales; Aurantimonadaceae. The record is from RNAcentral.